GACGAACGCUGGCGGCGUGCUUAACACAUGCAAGUCGAACGGAAAGGCCCUGCUUUUGUGGGGUGCUCGAGUGGCGAACGGGUGAGUAACACGUGAGUAACCUGCCCUUGACUUUGGGAUAACUUCAGGAAACUGGGGCUAAUACCGGAUAGGAGCUCCUGCUGCAUGGUGGGGGUUGGAAAGUUUCGGCGGUUGGGGACGGACUCGCGGCUUAUCAGCUUGUUGGUGGGGUAGUGGCUUACCAAGGCUUUGACGGGUAGCCGGCCUGAGAGGGUGACCGGCCACAUUGGGACUGAGAUACGGCCCAGACUCCUACGGGAGGCAGCAGUGGGGAAUAUUGCACAAUGGGCGGAAGCCUGAUGCAGCAACGCCGCGUGCGGGAUGACGGCCUUCGGGUUGUAAACCGCUUUCGCCUGUGACGAAGCGUGAGUGACGGUAAUGGGUAAAGAAGCACCGGCUAACUACGUGCCAGCAGCCGCGGUGAUACGUAGGGUGCGAGCGUUGUCCGGAUUUAUUGGGCGUAAAGGGCUCGUAGGUGGUUGAUCGCGUCGGAAGUGUAAUCUUGGGGCUUAACCCCUGAGCGUGCUUUCGAUACGGGUUGACUUGAGGAAGGUAGGGGAGAAUGGAAUUCCUGGUGGAGCGGUGGAAUGCGCAGAUAUCAGGAGGAACACCAGUGGCGAAGGCGGUUCUCUGGGCCUUUCCUGACGCUGAGGAGCGAAAGCGUGGGGAGCGAACAGGCUUAGAUACCCUGGUAGUCCACGCUGUAAACGGUGGGUACUAGGUGUGGGGUCCAUUCCACGGGUUCCGUGCCGUAGCUAACGCUUUAAGUACCCCGCCUGGGGAGUACGGCCGCAAGGCUAAAACUCAAAGGAAUUGACGGGGCCCCGCACAAGCGGCGGAGCAUGCGGAUUAAUUCGAUGCAACGCGUAGAACCUUACCUGGGUUUGACAUGGAUCGGGAGCGCUCAGAGAUGGGUGUGCCUCUUUUGGGGUCGGUUCACAGGUGGUGCAUGGCUGUCGUCAGCUCGUGUCGUGAGAUGUUGGGUUAAGUCCCGCAACGAGCGCAACCCUUGUUCACUGUUGCCAGCACGUUAUGGUGGGGACUCAGUGGAGACCGCCGGGGUCAACUCGGAGGAAGGUGGGGAUGACGUCAAGUCAUCAUGCCCCUUAUGUCCAGGGCUUCACGCAUGCUACAAUGGCUGGUACAGAGAGUGGCGAGCCUGUGAGGGUGAGCGAAUCUCGGAAAGCCGGUCUCAGUUCGGAUUGGGGUCUGCAACUCGACCUCAUGAAGUCGGAGUCGCUAGUAAUCGCAGAUCAGCAACGCUGCGGUGAAUACGUUCCCGGG
This 1344-nucleotide ribosomal RNA is filed under the name uncultured bacterium. RNAcentral's name for it is "16S ribosomal RNA". It matches the Rfam family "Bacterial small subunit ribosomal RNA", at positions 28 to 1378 of the family's 1533-position model. The record is from RNAcentral.